RNAcentral lists this ribosomal RNA (640 nucleotides) under uncultured Lachnospiraceae bacterium. RNAcentral's name for it is "bacterial SSU rRNA". It matches the Rfam family "Bacterial small subunit ribosomal RNA", at positions 96 to 752 of the family's 1533-position model. Lineage: Bacteria; Bacillati; Bacillota; Clostridia; Lachnospirales; Lachnospiraceae. The record is from RNAcentral.
UGGCGAACGGGUGAGUAACGCGUGAGUAACCUGCCCUAGAGUGGGGGACAACAGUUGGAAACGACUGCUAAUACCGCAUAAGCCCACGGUACCGCAUGGUACUGAGGGAAAAGGAUUUAUUCGCUUUAGGAUGGACUCGCGUCCAAUUAGCUAGUUGGUGAGGUAACGGCCCACCAAGGCGACGAUUGGUAGCCGGACUGAGAGGUUGAACGGCCACAUUGGGACUGAGACACGGCCCAGACUCCUACGGGAGGCAGCAGUGGGGGAUAUUGCACAAUGGGGGAAACCCUGAUGCAGCGACGCCGCGUGGAGGAAGAAGGUUUUCGGAUUGUAAACUCCUGUCGUUAGGGACGAUAAUGACGGUACCUAACAAGAAAGCACCGGCUAACUACGUGCCAGCAGCCGCGGUAAAACGUAGGGUGCAAGCGUUGUCCGGAAUUACUGGGUGUAAAGGGAGCGCAGGCGGGAAGACAAGUUGGAAGUGAAAACCAUGGGCUCAACCCAUGAAUUGCUUUCAAAACUGUUUUUCUUGAGUAGUGCAGAGGUAGAUGGAAUUCCCGGUGUAGCGGUGGAAUGCGUAGAUAUCGGGAGGAACACCAGUGGCGAAGGCGGUCUACUGGGCACCAACUGACGCUGAGGC